CCUACGAGGGGCAGCAGUGGGGAAUAUUGGACAAUGGGCGAAAGCCUGAUCCAGCCAUGCCGCGUGUGUGAAGAAGGCCUUCGGGUUGUAAAGCACUUUCAGUGGGGAAGAAAGCCUUGGGGCUAAUACCCUCGAGGAAGGACAUCACCCACAGAAGAAGCACCGGCUAACUCCGUGCCAGCAGCCGCGGUAAUACGGAGGGUGCGAGCGUUAAUCGGAAUUACUGGGCGUAAAGCGCGCGUAGGCGGUCUGAUAAGCCGGUUGUGAAAGCCCCGGGCUCAACCUGGGAACGGCAUCCGGAACUGUCAGGCUAGAGUGCAGGAGAGGAAGGUAGAAUUCCCGGUGUAGCGGUGAAAUGCGUAGAGAUCGGGAGGAAUACCAGUGGCGAAGGCGGCCUUCUGGACUGACACUGACGCUGAGGUGCGAAAGCGUGGGUAGCAAACAGGAUUAGAUACCCCAGUAGUC
Molecule: ribosomal RNA, 465 nt
Filed under: Vreelandella stevensii
Lineage: Bacteria; Pseudomonadati; Pseudomonadota; Gammaproteobacteria; Oceanospirillales; Halomonadaceae
Description: partial 16S ribosomal RNA
Rfam family: Bacterial small subunit ribosomal RNA
Source: RNAcentral